Long non-coding RNA from Gadus macrocephalus (Pacific cod), 304 nucleotides. RefSeq lists it as uncharacterized. The record is from RefSeq and is a predicted model, not a curated record. NCBI's taxonomy places the organism in Eukaryota, Metazoa, Chordata, Actinopteri, Gadiformes, Gadidae. The transcript is spliced from 2 exons.
GGCUGGGGGGCCCGCCGCGGCCCCGGAGCCUGGGUCCCCCCCCGUCUGGUGUUCCGACGCGCCGUCACCGCCGCCACAGUCCUCCGCCGCCGCCGCCUCCUGGGACGCUUCUGGGACAAACAACGCAGAACCACGAUGCUCAGGGCCUUUGUGAAGCGUCCAGGGGGUGGAACGAGAGACGGAAUGACGUGUCACAUGGGUCCACGGGUGGGAAUCAAACCUGCGGUCACCAACACAGUAUUGCCCUCGUGUGAGCCCACCAGCGGGUUGAGCCACAAGCUACUCCAGGAGUCAGAGGCUAACA